RNAcentral lists this long non-coding RNA (1266 nucleotides) under Nicotiana benthamiana. RNAcentral describes it as "long non-coding RNA (NBEN_LNC019828)". The record is from RNAcentral. Lineage: Eukaryota; Viridiplantae; Streptophyta; Magnoliopsida; Solanales; Solanaceae.
GUAAACCUGGCUCCCUUGUGGUUGUGGCAGUCUAUGUGGAUGAUAUUAUCCUUACCAGGGAUGACAGUGAUGAAAUUACUGCCCUGAAACUAUUUCUGGAUGAUCAGUUUAAAAUCAAAGAUUUAGGAUCUUUGCAUUAUUUUUUGGGCCUUGAAAAUCAGUUGUUCCUGGUGGAAUGAUCCUUAAUCAGCAUAAGUAUAUUUCUGAUUUACUGCAUCAGUUUGAAUGUGCAAAUGUCUCCUCUGUUGUUUCUCCUUUGGACAUUAAUAUAAAACUUCAUGCUGAUUCUGGUGACCUCUUAUCCUCUCCUGACCAGUACAUGAGUCUAGUUGGUAAGAUGUUAUUUCUGACUCAUACUAGGCCUGACAUAUGCGUCGCAGUUCAACAUCUGAGUCAAUUCCUCAAGUGCCCCAGACUUCCCCAUAUGACUGCUGCCUUGCAUGUUUUGAGAUACCUUAAAGGCACUCCUUCUAUGGGUUUAUUUUAUUCUGCCCAUGCUGAUUUUUCUGUUACUGGCUAUUCUGAUAGUGACUGGUCUGCAUGCCCUGAUACUAGACGAUCUGUUACUGGAUUUUGUGUGCUUUUGGGUGGUUGCCUGAUUAGUUGGAAAUCGAAGAAACAACCUGUUGUUUCUCUGUCUUCUGCUGAGGCAGAAUAUCGAGCCCUCAGCAAAGUUGUUGCUGAGUUAACUUGGCUUUCUCGUUUGUUGGUUGAUCUUGGGGUACCUGUUUCUCCUCCUUUUUCUGUAUAUUGUGACAGCCAGGCUGCUGUUUAUAUAGCUAACAAUCAUGUUUUUCAUGAACGUACCAAACACAUCGAGGUGGACUGCCAUUUUGUUCGGAACCUGUUACAGACUGGUUUUCUCAAGCUGCUUCAUAUUCCUACUUCUCGUCAGCUGGCUGACCUGCUCACUAAGCCAUUGCCUGGCACUGUGCUUCAUCCACUGUUAUCCAAGUUGCAGGUGGUUUUCCCCUCCAACUUGAGGGGGGAUGUUGAUUCUUUGUUGAUUGAAGGCCGAUCUUCUCCGGUCGCGAAGAACCAUUGCCUGGCACUGUGCUUCAUCCACUGAAUCCAAGUUGCAGGUGGUUUCACCCUCCAACUUGAGGGAUGGUGUUGAGAUGAAAGACUAUACAUGAUUGUACACACUGUAUACACAUUGUAUAUUUCUUGUAUUUUCCGGUAUACAAUAUAUUGGGAUGUGAUGAUUGUUAUUAGAGUAGUAUAUAUAUCUGAGCCCAUUGUUAGUUUGAUAUUGGGCCGUCUGAC